UCUAACUAUGUGCAAGAGUGAGGGGUGAGACGGGGGGGGUAAGGGUGAGUCGGAAUAAGUGGGCGUAAAUCGCGCGUAGGGUGCGUUUGAAGUCUUGGGUGAAAUCCCGCAGGUCAACUGAGGAACAGCCUCGGAUACUGCAAGGCUUGAGGCCGGGAGAGGGUAGUGGAAUUCCCAGUGUAGCGGUGAAAUGCGUAGAUAUUGGGAGGAACACCGGUGGCGAAGGCGGCUACCUGGACCGGUUCUGACGCUGAUGCGCGAAAGCGUGGGGAGCAAACAGGAUUAGAUACCCGAGUAGUC
Molecule: ribosomal RNA, 300 nt
Filed under: uncultured bacterium
Lineage: Bacteria
Description: partial 16S ribosomal RNA
Rfam family: Bacterial small subunit ribosomal RNA
Source: RNAcentral